This 455-nucleotide long non-coding RNA is filed under the name Homo sapiens (human). RNAcentral describes it as "HSALNT0005729". Lineage: Eukaryota; Metazoa; Chordata; Mammalia; Primates; Hominidae. The record is from RNAcentral.
AUGUCUGACAAACCCGAUAUGGCUGAGAUGGAGAAAUUCGAUAAGUCGAAACUGAAGAAGACAGAGACGCAAGAGAAAAAUCCACUGCCUUCCAAAGAAACGAUUGAACAGGAGAAGCAAGCAGGCGAAUCAUAAUGAGGCGUGCACCGCCAAUAUGCACUGUACGUUCCACAAGCAUUGCCUUCUUAUUUUACUUCUUUUAGCUGUUUAACUUUGUAAGAUGCAAAGAGGUUGGAUCAAGUUUAAAUGACUGUGCUGCCCCUUUCACAUCAAAGAACUACUGACAACGAAGGCUGUGCCUGUCUCUCCCAUCUGUCUAUCUGGCUGGCAGGGAAGGAAAGAACUUGCAUGUUGAAGAAGUGGGGUGGGACGACAGUGAAAUCUAGAGUAAAACCAAGCUGGCCCAAGGUGUCCUGCAGGCUGUAAUGCGGUUUAAUCAGAGUGCCAUUUUUUUU